ACUCACCGGUCUCGCGAAUGCCCAUAGCAGUUUAAUUUGAUCAUGGCUCAGAUUCCAACGCGUGGUUACAGGCCUAACACAUGCAAGUCGAGCGGAUGAGUGGAGCUUGCUCCAUGAUUCAGCGGCGGACGGGUGAGUAAUGCCUAGGAAUCUGCCUGGUAGUGGGGGACAACGUUUCGAAAGGAACGCUAAUACCGCAUACGUCCUACGGGAGAAAGCAGGGGACCUUCGGGCCUUGGCGCUAUCAGAUGAGCCUAGGUCCGGAUUAGCUAGUUGGGUGGGGUAAAGGCCUAACCAAGGGCCGAACGAAUCCGGUAACCUGGGUUCCUGAANGAGGAAUGAAUCCAGGUUCCA
RNAcentral lists this ribosomal RNA (354 nucleotides) under uncultured bacterium. RNAcentral's name for it is "bacterial SSU rRNA". It matches the Rfam family "Bacterial small subunit ribosomal RNA", at positions 1 to 312 of the family's 1533-position model. The record is from RNAcentral.